RNAcentral lists this long non-coding RNA (2260 nucleotides) under Heterocephalus glaber (naked mole-rat). RNAcentral's name for it is "lncRNA (ENSHGLG00000034188.1)". Lineage: Eukaryota; Metazoa; Chordata; Mammalia; Rodentia; Bathyergidae. The record is from RNAcentral.
AGGGAGAAGGCAAAUGGGACGGAUGGAGGAUGCCUGCCCCUUGCUGAGAGUGUGACAGACUCUGCUCCAAGGAACUGGUUGAACUCUGUUUUCUUUCUAAAGCAGAGAUACACAUUUUCUUCUCUGUCUACUCCUGCUGUGCUCUGAGACCUGUGAUAAGAUUCUUCUUUCUUUUGUGCUAGGUGCUUCAAACCAAGCGCAGCUCCCGGAGGCAAAGCCUGGAGCUGCAGAAGUGUGAGGAGAUCUUGCACAAGAUUGUGAAGUAUCGCUUCAGCUGGCCCUUCAGGGAGCCCGUGACCAGAGACGAGGCCGAGGACUACUAUGAUGUGAUCACCCAACCUAUGGACUUUCAGACAAUGCAGAACAAAUGUUCCUGUGGAAACUACCGCUCAGUGCAGGAGUUUCUCACCGACAUGAAGAAACGCAAGAAGUUUCCUGAUCGGCUUGCUGAUGAUGAAGUGGACAGUGAUCCAGAGCCUGUUGGACAGUCCAGGGGACGAAGACAGAAGAAAUAGAGGCGGGGGCUGUGGUAAGGGAGGUGGGGGACAGUAGGAGACAACCAGGGCGGUGGGAGAGGAAGUUGGAGAACUCCAAAAGGAAGCAGUCACGGAGUCCAGAAAUGCCUGUCACUCCAAGCCUGGGCUGUUUUCUCAAUUCCCCAUAUGGCCUUAUUCAAGCAGAGCUCUUGGGGAGGCUGAUCCUGGUCUGAUAGUCUCUGCCAAGAAAUACUAGGGGUAGAAGAGGGCCUUAACCCUGCUUUCUGGGAGUUUCCAGGAGGAGGCCAGGGGCCAGUUCUUCCUAGGAACCCAAUUCUUUUUCCUUUUCUCCUUCCUAAGGUUCCCCCAUGUUGGCUCCCACAGCAGUGCCAAGCCCCUCUGGCCUCCAGGGAAGGGUGACUGUGUUACAUAGCAGGAUCAAGAGGAGCUAGGCCAUUGGGGAGGUGGUGUUGAUUUUCUUUUUAAUCUAUAUUUAUACACAAUCUUGUUUCUUUAAGCCCAUACUGUCUGUUCCACCUUCUCCCUCUCAGGUGACAGUAUCAGUGAGUGCCAUGCAGAACCCUAUAUUCACCAGCAUCAUGGGACAGUUGUGGUCUUUUGAGCUUGGCAGAGUAAAGGGACAUUCCCUGGAGCCAUUCCUGAAUACCCCUCCCCUUCUUUGUGACAGCUUCCUCCCUCUUCCCAUCUCACCUCACCGCCUCAGAAAACAAAAAACUAAGGCACUUCACUCGAGACUGGCGUCCUGCUUGUAAUCGUGCUUAUAACCUUUACUUCGUGGAUCUGGCCAGAGGGUGUUGGAGCCCAGCCCACCCACACACCAGACAAGCUCUUAGGGAGCAGAAGAGCAGGAAGACUGUAAUGUUUGACGUUUUUUAAAUUGACUUUUCUAGUUAUUAAAAGUUGCUUGUUUUAGCAGUGAUACUGUAUAAAGAACAUCUUGUAAAAUAUUUGUCAUCUUGCUUUGGCACAUGUACAGUACAAUUUCUAUGAUGACGUGUUGCUUUACACCCCCAUCCUUCCUCGGCCAGCCUGCAUUUUCAGAGAAGCUAGGUCGGAGGUCCUCGCAAGCAGGUAGUGGGAUCUGGUGGUGCUCUGGGCCGUUUGCCUACUAUAGUGGCUCUUUCCGCCUCUGUGCCUGCCUCCUGAGUCCCCACUCUGGCCUCAGACUGGAGCUCUUGUGACUUGUGCAUCUCAGCAGGUGGAGAGGAGUGGCCGGAACCUCUGUGAGAGCCCUUCCUAUGGCCAGGCUAGCCUAGUUGUUACAGGUAGGCAGAAGUUUGUAGUCUUUCCCUUUUAUGACAGAUUUUUGAUAAACGUAUAAGACAGGGUUUAAUUUUCUUUUCUAUCAACCUUGAAUUUGGAAAAUGUGAGCACCUCAGCUCUUUAGCCCACAGUUGCCGCUCCUUGGACCGAGAUAAAUAAAGCCUCUUGACCUGACACUUCAGGUGUGAUCCUGUCUCCCCUCUUCCCUGCCCAGGGACUUGGGAAUUUGCUCCAGUGGCUGGUGGGUGGGUCACCGUCCCUUCUCCUGUAGGCUUGGAGUGAGCACUGACCUUACAGCGUCAUAGUCCCAGCCACCACCGCCUUCUCCUGCUUCUUAUCCUAGGUCCAGUCUGUCCUUGUGCUAGUGAGGAUCCUGUGUGCCCGCUGCAGUGACACCUGCAUUGUUGGUUGGUUUUUAAAUUGUCUUUAAGGAGGAAGGGCCCCAUUAAAGGGUGAACUUGUAAUAAAUUGGGAUUUCAAAUAAACAUUAUGUACCUGUG